Nicotiana tabacum (common tobacco) is the source of this 737-nucleotide non-coding RNA. Lineage: Eukaryota; Viridiplantae; Streptophyta; Magnoliopsida; Solanales; Solanaceae. The record is from RefSeq and is a predicted model, not a curated record.
AAAUAUUGGUAAUCAUUUAACUCUAAGCUUGCCACUCUACUUUAAAACAAAAUCGUCCACAUAGUUUGAAUGUUCUCUGGUGCAAUAGAGAGAGAGAGAUAGGACAAAGGUAUCAUUGCUUCUAUGAUCAUUUCGAAGAAAGAGAGAGAGAGACAGAAAAAGAGCAGAUUUCAGAUUAAAACUUUUCUGAACAACACAUAAUGGAUGGUCUCAUGCUACUCAAGACAAUUUGUCUCUUCUUCCUUCUCAUUUCUACUUCUCUCUUGUCAACUUCAUGUGCAGGUCGACAGUCGAGAUUUGUAAGCAACUUUGAGAAAGAAGAGCUGGGUGGAACUCAUUAUAAGGAAGUGUCAGUAGGAGAGCAAUUACACCAUGAGGAGAUGAGUGAAAUCCAUGAAAGGCUUCUUAAGGCCAACACAAAGGAUUAUGGGAGAUAUGAUCCAGCACCUGCCCUUUCUAAGCCUCGUUUCAAGCUCAUACCCAACUGAUCUAUGUGAUUUCGAAACAAUUAUAUGUAUGAGGAAUAUAUUUGGCUAAGUCUCCAGACCAUUUUAGGGUUUGUGAACCGCUAGUACGAGUUAAAUUAUGAACCCUAGUGCUAUGUCUUAAUAUAUGUUUGCAGCUGUAAUAUACUAUCCUUUUAUGUUUAUAUAUUUUCUAUGAACUGGAUGUUUGUACGUCUGUAGUAUUCUCUGUAUGAUUAUAUGAAAAAAUAAAACUUUUGUAUGUUCUUGCUC